AAAGGAAUUGACGGGGGCCCGCACAAGCAGCGGAGCAUGUGGUUUAAUUCGAAGCAACGCGAAGAACCUUACCAGGUCUUGACAUCCCCUGACCACCCUAGAGAUAGGGCUUUCCCUUCGGGGACAGGGAGACAGGUGGUGCAUGGUUGUCGUCAGCUCGUGUCGUGAGAUGUUGGGUUAAGUCCCGCAACGAGCGCAACCCCUGUAUUUAGUUGCCAUCAGGUAAAGCUGGGCACUCUAGAUAGACUGCCGUAGACAAUACGGAGGAAGGUGGGGAUGACGUCAAAUCAUCAUGCCCCUUAUGACCUGGGCUACACACGUGCUACAAUGGUCUGAACAGAGGGCAGCGAAAUAGUGAUAUGGAGCGAAUCCCACAAAACAGAUCACAGUUCGGAUUGCAGGCUGCAACUCGCCUGCAUGAAGUCGGAGUUGCUAGUAAUCGCGGAUCAGAAUGCCGCGGUGAAUGCGUUCCCGGGCCUUGUACACACCGCCCGU
Molecule: ribosomal RNA, 495 nt
Filed under: uncultured bacterium
Lineage: Bacteria
Description: bacterial SSU rRNA
Rfam family: Bacterial small subunit ribosomal RNA
Source: RNAcentral